CCUACGGGUGACAGCAGGGAGGAAUAUUGGUCCAUGGGCGUAAGCCUGAACCAGCCAAGUCGCGUGAGGGAUGAAGGUUCUAUGGAUCGUAAACCUCUUUUAUAAGGGAAUAAAGUGUGGGACGUGUCCUGUUUUGUAUGUACCUUAUGAAUAAGGAUCGGCUAACUCCGUUCCAGCAGCCGCGGUAAUACGGAGGAUCCGAGCGUUAUCCGGAUUUAUUGGGUUUAAAGGGUGCGUAGGCGGCCUUUUAAGUCAGCGGUGAAAGUCUGUGGCUCAACCAUAGAAUUGCCGUUGAAACUGGGAGGCUUGAGUAUGUUUGAGGCAGGCGGAAUGCGUGGUGUAGCGGUGAAAUGCUUAGAUAUCACGCAGAACCCCGAUUGCGAAGGCAGCCUGCCAAGCCAUGACUGACGCUGAUGCACGAAAGCGUGGGGAUCAAACAGGAUUAGAUACCCGUGUAGUC
Molecule: ribosomal RNA, 460 nt
Filed under: uncultured bacterium
Lineage: Bacteria
Description: partial 16S ribosomal RNA
Rfam family: Bacterial small subunit ribosomal RNA
Source: RNAcentral